AAGUCGAGCGAACAGACGAGGAGCUUGCUUCUCUGACGUUAGCGGCGGACGGGUGAGUAACACGUGGAUAACCUACCUAUAAGACUGGGAUAACUUCGGGAAACCGGAGCUAAUACCGGAUAAUAUAUUGAACCGCAUGGUUCAAUAGUGAAAGACGGUUUUGCUGUCACUUAUAGAUGGAUCCGCGCCGCAUUAGCUAGUUGGUAAGGUAACGGCUUACCAAGGCAACGAUGCGUAGCCGACCUGAGAGGGUGAUCGGCCACACUGGAACUGAGACACGGUCCAGACUCCUACGGGAGGCAGCAGUAGGGAAUCUUCCGCAAUGGGCGAAAGCCUGACGGAGCAACGCCGCGUGAGUGAUGAAGGUCUUCGGAUCGUAAAACUCUGUUAUUAGGGAAGAACAAAUGUGUAAGUAACUAUGCACGUCUUGACGGUACCUAAUCAGAAAGCCACGGCUAACUACGUGCCAGCAGCCGCGGUAAUACGUAGGUGGCAAGCGUUAUCCGGAAUUAUUGGGCGUAAAGCGCGCGUAGGCGGUUUUUUAAGUCUGAUGUGAAAGCCCACGGCUCAACCGUGGAGGGUCAUUGGAAACUGGAAAACUUGAGUGCAGAAGAGGAAAGUGGAAUUCCAUGUGUAGCGGUGAAAUGCGCAGAGAUAUGGAGGAACACCAGUGGCGAAGGCGACUUUCUGGUCUGUAACUGACGCUGAUGUGC
This 713-nucleotide ribosomal RNA is filed under the name uncultured Staphylococcus sp. Its description in RNAcentral is "bacterial SSU rRNA". It matches the Rfam family "Bacterial small subunit ribosomal RNA", at positions 59 to 754 of the family's 1533-position model. Lineage: Bacteria; Bacillati; Bacillota; Bacilli; Caryophanales; Staphylococcaceae. The record is from RNAcentral.